GAGACUUAUUUACAAUGGCUGCCA
RNAcentral lists this non-coding RNA (24 nucleotides) under Arabidopsis thaliana (thale cress). The record is from RNAcentral. Lineage: Eukaryota; Viridiplantae; Streptophyta; Magnoliopsida; Brassicales; Brassicaceae.